This is a long non-coding RNA of Cydia pomonella (codling moth), 2234 nucleotides long. RefSeq lists it as uncharacterized. Lineage: Eukaryota; Metazoa; Arthropoda; Insecta; Lepidoptera; Tortricidae. The record is from RefSeq and is a predicted model, not a curated record. The transcript has 3 exons.
CGGACAGCGAAGUCUCAGUAAUAGGGUCCCGUUUGACCCUUUGGGUACGGAGCCCUAAAAAGAAACCUGAGAAAGAAACUGAUUUUACUAGUCAGUAAUCGAUUUAUCGUAAUUGACAUAACGAUACGUUGAUUGAUUGUAAAAUAAAAUAUAUGCAUAAAUUAACCAUCUUAAGAAGAAGUAUCAUCAUAAUUUCUGCAUGAAAUUUUUAAUCUUAUGACUUAUAUUCGUUGAUUUAUUUAUAGCUUUUUAUUUGCCGUCAAAUUAUUGAGUCGAGUCGAAUCGAUUACAUUGGAAAUUUCGAAAUGGUGCAACACUGAAUUGUCUAUAGCGCUCAAUGGCCUCAAUGAAUUAUGUCAUGGAGACUUGAGACGUCAACGUCAUAUCAACGUCAAGUCAACGGAUUUUUUCAAGUAUUUUGCUGUGAACGCUUAUGUUUCGUGGAGUAUUAUAAUAUGUUAAUUAUUAAUAUGAAUUCCAAAUACGUCGUAUUCGGCCCCUCUGUGCAAAAAUACAACAAUAAAAACACUUUACAAAUGUGUUUAUUCAAAACAAUAAAAAAUAAUAAGAGAUAAGUGUUUAAUUAACAGAGCGCAGACCGGCACCCACUGAGUCUAGUUAUGACUUCGUCAAUUUGGUUGUGUGAAGGUUUUACAAAUGGUAUGGAAAAUUACUUGCAGUAUCAUGUGAUGAGGAAGAUGUCAAAAGCGAGCUUGAAACCAGGAUGUAUUCCCACAAUAUUUUCAUCUCAAUUGUCAACCAGACCAAGAACCACAAACAUCUGUUACUAUAGAACAAAAUAUGACAGCACUCAAAGUAUGUGUAUCGUCUUUGCAGUAUGGGGACCUAAUAGAAGAGAGUGAAUUCUAAUGAAAUUGCGUCUUCACCAAGUCCAGGUCAGCGUAGGAAGGAUGACGUUCCACAGUUGGAAUUAGUUCAGGCAUUCAUACCAAAAAAAAUACAGAAGUUAAGCGACUCAAUACAAAGUUACAUCAGUAAACCGGAUGACGUCCCCAUCAAACCCACACCAUUGUUUUGUCUCCAUAUCGCUAUUUACAAUAAUAAUUGUUGGUUGAAUAGUAAAGGGCCCAAACCCAAACCCAGUAAAUUGAUAAAAAGUAUUGACAAAUCUGUAAGUGAUAAAUACAUUCUGUGACGCGCACUGUGCUAGAGUUCUGACUCGACUAAGACAAGUCUGAUUUUAAAAGUCAAACUUCUACAAAAUUAUGUCAUAUAAGUUGCACUACAUGUGCUAUGAAAAUCAUUGCAGACUUAUCUUAGUCUAACUCUACUUAAAACGAUUAGAAAAACUCCUGCAUACUUGUUUGAAUAUAGUGCUAAGCUAAUACUUUUACUGACUGUAUGGUAAAUGGUAAAAUAUUGAUAUGGGUAAAGUGGCAGAAAUAUGUAUACACUACUCUAAUAUAUGGGCUAUAAGGUUGUGUAUACAUAUUUUUGGCUCUUCGAUCGUGUCGAUGUUUUCAGACGUGACUGUACAUAACAAAUAAAAUGAUUGAAUGGUUACUUAACCAUUAGGUACUUACCUAUUACACCUGUAGUGCCUAUACCUGUUAUUGUAAAGAAACGUUCAUAAAAUUGGGUUAUUUGCACUAGUUACCUCCAAGUUGUUACAAGUGACAAUUUUUUUCUCACCAACAGGUGAACACGCAAUAGACACUUCGGAAAAUUUCCAAAUAAAAUGGUAAAUUUUCCGAAGAUUCUAUUGUGGGGGCCCUCUUAUGUGUAGGCCCCGGGGCUGUAGCCCCCGGUUGCCCUCCCCUAAAUCCGGCCCUGGAAAUACCCAUGAAAUUUACUAUGAGUAGUAUGAGUGCAAUAUGAAAUAAGCAGUUAUGAUUUUACUUGAUAAAUUGUUAGUAUGGGGAAUAUUUUAUAUUAUAUUAUAAAAUAUUUUUGGUUGGGGACUGAAAAUCAGUGGUUUCACUGAGUCUCAUCCAUUUUACUCAACAAAUAUUUGUAAAUUCUACCAGUUUUUUUUUAUUGUACUUGAAAUUCAUUGUUUUGUAUUGGUAAAUAAAUAUCUUUAUAAGGAGUCUUUGCUUUGGUUGUUCUUAAAGCCUGUAUUUAUUUUAUUUAUUUAGCAAUGUAGCCAAUGUAGGUAUGUGUACUUUAAAAUACAAGCACAUUAUACCUAAUUAAUUAUAUUUAAAGUAUUUUUAAAUAAAUUGUUCUUAUGUAUUUCAGAAAUGCCAAAUAUUAAUAUACUAUCAAGACAU